Molecule: ribosomal RNA, 252 nt
Filed under: uncultured bacterium
Lineage: Bacteria
Description: partial 16S ribosomal RNA
Rfam family: Bacterial small subunit ribosomal RNA
Source: RNAcentral
UACGGAGGAUGCGAGCGUUAUCCGGAUUUAUUGGGUUUAAAGGGUGCGUAGGCGGACUGUCAAGUCAGCGGUAAAAUUGAGAGGCUCAACCUCUUCCCGCCGUUGAAACUGGUGGUCUUGAGUGGAUGAGAAGUACGCGGAAUGCGUGGUGUAGCGGCGAAAUGCAUAGAUAUCACGCAGAACUCCGAUUGCGAAGGCAGCGUACCGGCAUCCAACUGACGCUGAGGCACGAAAGCGUGGGGAUCAAACAGG